AAUCUCCCCAAGAACAACAACAAC
RNAcentral lists this small RNA (24 nucleotides) under Arabidopsis thaliana (thale cress). RNAcentral describes it as "ATSL233370". The record is from RNAcentral. Lineage: Eukaryota; Viridiplantae; Streptophyta; Magnoliopsida; Brassicales; Brassicaceae.